RNAcentral lists this ribosomal RNA (506 nucleotides) under uncultured bacterium. Its description in RNAcentral is "partial 16S ribosomal RNA". It matches the Rfam family "Bacterial small subunit ribosomal RNA", at positions 28 to 523 of the family's 1533-position model. The record is from RNAcentral.
GAUGAACGCUAGCUACAGGCUUAACACAUGCAAGUCGAGGGGUAACGAGAGGAAAGCUUGCUUUCCUUGUCGACGACCGGCGCACGGGUGAGUAACGCGUAUCCAACCUGCCCCCAACUAGGGAAUAACCUUGCGAAAGUAAGACUAAUACCCUAUAAUUUCCUCAGAUGUCAUCUGACGAGGAAUAAAGAUUUAUCGGUUGUGGAUGGGGAUGCGUCUGAUUAGCGUGGUGGCGGGGUAACGGCCCACCAAGGCAACGAUCAGUAGGGGUUCUGAGAGGAAGGUCCCCCACAUUGGAACUGAGACACGGUCCAAACUCCUACGGGAGGCAGCAGUGAGGAAUAUUGGCCAAUGGGCGGAAGCCUGAACCAGCCAAGUAGCGUGCAGGAUGACGGCCCUAUGGGUUGUAAACUGCUUUUAUACAGGAAUAAAGUUAGCCACGUGUGGUUAUUUGUAGGUACUGUAUGAAUAAGGACCGGCUAAUUCCGUGCCAGCCGCCGCGGUAA